RNAcentral lists this long non-coding RNA (1006 nucleotides) under Brassica rapa (field mustard). RNAcentral describes it as "long non-coding RNA (BRAP_LNC003486)". The record is from RNAcentral. Lineage: Eukaryota; Viridiplantae; Streptophyta; Magnoliopsida; Brassicales; Brassicaceae.
UAACUUGUUCUUCAAGUCUUUACUUUUAAUUUUUGGAGUCUUCAUGGAUUUCACGGGCUUCACAAUCUAGGUCCGUAAGAUACAUAUCUUCCGGCCCAAUGUAUCUCUAAUACUCCCCCGCACGACAAACGUGGAAUGCAACACGCAAAUCUGCAAUCACAAAGCAGACCACGUAUGUCGUGGACACUAUGUCGAGGAAAACAAAUCACUAGAUUCCUUCGGUAAUAAACUUCAACUUAGACAAGGAGAGAUGAAAUCUUCAGCUCUUCUUCGGUCUUGACAAUGAGAAUACAUCUCGUGGGCGCAACUGCAGCUCCAUAAACAAUUAUCCUUGACAGUCCAUAACACGGACUAAAAAACUGACCUAAGAAUUUGAGCGUUCAAUUAGAACUCCCCCGUAAUGGUUAAACUAUAACCAAUAAAUCCCAAACUAUGGAAAAAACAACACGACAUAAAUCUGAGAAAUUCUAAACUACAGAAAAUCUCUAACAAAAAUAACCCAUGUGAAAUCACAAACCCUUAGCAUUACUAAACCCUCAAAUUCUUUUGCACUGAUCACCCGACCAAAACCCAAGAAAAAAAACAAAACAAAACCCUAAUAAAAAAAAACCAAAACCCAACUUCACGUGAAUCAACGUCGUCAUCCGGAUCAUCUUCGCCGUCUUCAUCGUCAACACCACCAAUGAACGCCAUCAAAGCUCUAAACUUAUAAUGCGGAAGUUUUAAUUUUGAUCCCUAAAAAUCGAAUACUCUGAUACCAUGUAAAAUAUAAUAGAAUAGAUAUAUUAUUGUAUUGUGUUUGAUAAAAAAAUACAAUAUACAUAUAUAUAGUGGUAACAUUAACAUAAUGUUAACACUAAAUAAUGCUAACUUUCCUAAACACUUAAUGUAAAUAUGCUAGAAUAUCUUGACAGUAACUUGUUCUUCAAAUCUUUCCUUUUAAUCUUUGGAGUCUUCAUGGAUUUCACGGGCUUCACAAUCUAGGUCCGUAAGAUACAUAUUUUCC